Molecule: ribosomal RNA, 468 nt
Filed under: uncultured bacterium
Lineage: Bacteria
Description: partial 16S ribosomal RNA
Rfam family: Bacterial small subunit ribosomal RNA
Source: RNAcentral
GACGAACGCUGGCGGCGUGCUUAACACAUGCAAGUCGAACGGAAAGGCCCUGCUUUUGUGGGGUGCUCGAGUGGCGAACGGGUGAGUAACACGUGAGUAACCUGCCCUUGACUUUGGGAUAACUUCAGGGAACUGGGGCUAUUACCGGAUAGGAUCUCCUGCUGCGUGGGGGGGGUUGGUAAGUUUCGGCGUUUGUGGAUGGACUCGCGGCUUAUCAGCUACUUGGUGGGGUAGUGACUUUCCAGGGCUUUGACGGGUAGCCGGCCUUGGAGCGUGAACGGCCACCAUAGGCCUAAGAGACGGACCAGUAUGCUACGGGACGCAGCAGUCGAGAAUAUUACACAACGACGCCAAGCCUGAUGUAGAAACCCUGCGAGCGGAAUGCCGGGCUACUGGUUGUAAACCGAUUUCGACUGUGAUGAAGAGUGAGUGACGGUACUGGGUAAAGAAGCACCGGCUAACUACGUG